This 440-nucleotide ribosomal RNA is filed under the name uncultured bacterium. RNAcentral describes it as "partial 16S ribosomal RNA". It matches the Rfam family "Bacterial small subunit ribosomal RNA", at positions 338 to 795 of the family's 1533-position model. The record is from RNAcentral.
CCUACGGGUCGCAGCAGUAGGGAAUAUUGCUCAAUGGGGGAAACCCUGAAGCAGCAACGCCGCGUGGAGGAUGAAGGUUUUCGGAUUGUAAACUCCUUUUGUGAGAGAAGAUAAUGACGGUAUCUAACGAAUAAGCACCGGCUAACUCCGUGCCAAAAGCCGCGGUAAUAAGGAGGGUGCAAGGGGUACUCGGAACUACUGGGCGUAAAGAGCGAGUAGGCGGGCUUGCAAGUCAGAUGUGAAAUCCUAUGGCUUAACCAUAGAACUGCAUUUGAAACUGUUAUUCUAGAGUAUGGGAGAGGUAGGUGGAAUUCUUGGUGUAGGGGUAAAAUCCGUAGAGAUCAAGAGGAAUACUCAUUGCGAAGGCGACCUGCUAGAACAUAACUGACGCUGAUGCGCGAAAGCGUGGGGAGCAAACAGGAUUAGAUACCCCGGUAGUC